RNAcentral lists this long non-coding RNA (268 nucleotides) under Mytilus galloprovincialis (Mediterranean mussel). The record is from RNAcentral. Lineage: Eukaryota; Metazoa; Mollusca; Bivalvia; Mytilida; Mytilidae.
UGCGCCAUGAGCGCAUGAUACGCCCGACGUCUUGUGUGGAAGUUUUAUGCAAUAAUCAUAAAUAGUUUCUUAGGAAGUUUUAAGCAAUAACCAUUUAUUGUUUUUGAGACACGGCGGGACAUGUGAACCCCCCCCCCCCCCCCCACCCCACCCCACCCUGUUUUUUUUUUUUUUUUUACAAAUAUCACUAAAAUAAAAUUUUGAAUCAAACCAAAAAGUAUACAGAUCUUUAAAUUAGUAUAACAAAGAAGUGUGUACAGUUUCAAGC